CCAUUCGCCACCCCGUCUUCCCCGCACUCGCCGCCGCCACCACCCUUCGUCCCGUGUGCUCUGCUUCCUCCCCCCUCCCGUCCCCUCGCUCUCGUGCAGCCGCCGCGGCGCUCCCACAUCUCCUCCCCUUCCUCUCGACCAGGCCGCGCUGGCGCUCGGGGCGCUCGCCGCCGUGCUCCCCGGCGACGACGACGCCCCGCAGCGGACGGCGCUUGGGAGGCCGACCUCCACGCAAGCCCUAGCACAGCUUAAGGCGAAGCUCCUGGCGCCGGGGCCCGGGCACGUGGGUGCCGCGGUGCUCGCGGAGCCGCUGCAGAUCCCAGCCGACCAGGCCGCGCUGGCGCUCAGGGCGCUCGCCGCCGUGCUCCCCGGCGGCGACGACGACCCCACAGCGGACGGCGCGUGGGAGGCCGACCUCCACGACGUGCUCCUCUUCCUCUACAUCCAGUCCUACAAGCGCCUUGUGCCAAGGCUUCGAUUCCAUCCAUUUGCUCCCGUGUAGCACGCUGGCUCGCCACGAUCUGCAAUGGCCUGAAGAAUGAGGCAAUCCUUGGAAGCAGCACGUACAUGUGAUCCCCCCUCUCACUCUGAUUCCAAGGUUAUGUUGCUGAUGGUAGGUGUCACUCUGGAUUGCAGAAAACAUGAUAAGAGCAUGGAGAUGGAUUGCUGCAUAUAUAUGCUACCCACACUACCAUUUUCUUGAUCAUAGCAUGGAUGGAUUGCUGCAAAUUCAUGUUGUUGUUGCGGGAUCAUGCCGGCCCUCCCUUGUGCUAGCCAGCCAUCAGGACCGACUGCGGUUGGUUCAUGCCGACGCGGCUGUGGCUCCCUGUGGUGCUCCUCUCAUGUUGCAUCUUCUUCCUCGCGGGCUUCUUUGGCUCCCUCCUCUUCACCCAGGAUACGCAGGGGGAGGAGGACAUGGAGCGGCCACUGCCAAGGGAACGGCUGCUCUAUUUACCCUUAUUGUCGGUUUCACUUGCCUAGCCUAGUUUGAAGAGUUUCCCGGGAGUGGCGAGGAGUACCGGCAUAUCGAGUCCCUGGUGUUUUCCUCUACGAGCUGGGGAGGGCGUGUGGUUCUCUCCUCGUCGGUCUCACUUCUCCCCUUCCUCCUCCAUGGAUUGGAACGAAAAGAAGAAACUACAGCGUCACAUAACUGCAGCAAAGAAGGUACUGCAUAAGAUGUAACAGGGUCGUAUUAUGGAAGCGAAGAACAGAAUCCCUGCUGUUCCACGGAGUGAGUACAGUUAAAGGUAAAAAAAAGGAAAAAGGAAGUCUGGAGCUCUCUCGGCUGUACAACAAAGAGGGGUUACUUCACGUACUCAUCAGCAGUGAGGCUAAUAUCAUCUCCAAUCAAGUGAAAAAGCAAGGGCGCAGCCUUAGUUUUCUGUUGGAAGACUUCUAUUUCUCUCAUUCCAGAGGUGCUAGCCUGUGCAAGCAGUGACAGUGUACUUUUUAUUGAUCUGAAUCUUCAGGCUUCAUUUUGAAAUUUUGGGCCACGAACACUUGAUCGCAAAAGUAACAGGUAUCAUGGUGAGGCCAGUUUCUGUUUUGCAUGUUGCCUUAUUUCUCUUCUAUCUGCAGUUUGCUUCCACGUUCUAUAUGUUUGCGAGGAAAUUUCAAAUCGUUUUGUAUGCUCAUCAAUUGGUGCAUCUAGAAUAUGUAUGUGAACCGUGUACCUUACGGAUUCCUUAAGGGCCUCAUGAUUGUUGGUGUUUUUUUUUCAUAUGAAAACACCAAGGUUAUUAUCCUAACUAUCAUAGUUUGUACCAGCAGGAUUAUCAUAACAAUUAUGCAAUUUUUUUCCAGGUGAUUACAUAGUUAAAGGUAGUGACUUUUUUAGUCCUAUGUGAUUUCUUAUCAACUGAGCUAUCAAAUUGUGCAUUAUGUACUUGGUCACAACGUUGUAACCGGCACCCUCGCGCCAAGGCGCGUUUCCGAUCUCAUUGGAUACUUUUGUACUUUAGUUAGAAGCAUAAUUGUCAGAAGCAAGCAUAAUGGCCAUAUGAUGAAGCCGAUAAGUGUUUAGUAGAGACUCCAAUCAAUUCGAUCUCUCCAUGAUCUUUACCGCAUAUGAUAUUUUCCUUCUGGGUAUUUAACUUUGUCAAGUGCAUGCUAUGGUUCAGAGCAAAAUUCAGUUUCCAGUUAUAAUUCAGUGAUUUUCUUGCCUUGUAUUUUAUUUUGCAUAAUUGUAGAAAUUGCGGUGGCCAUCCGCGGAUCUACAGUCCCUGGUUUGAUUUGUCGAGUGUCCUGGGCAAGAGGACCAAGUGUGGGCGGGUAGGUAUCGGCAAGGCGGGCUGUCAGCAUGGUGUUGGAGUUGGCCGGUAGUGGUGCACCUGCGCCAUGUAUGUAUCAAUACUCUAGGAGGUUCCAUUGAGGCCCAGUCUAUCCAGGUAGUUUGUUAUACUACUGACUUAGAUACACUUUAUUUAUCAAGAAUUUUUGUAUAUCAUAAUAUCAAAGGCAAAAGGGUCUGUCUAUGGAUGCACUUCUUAUGGUCAUGUACAUUUCAGAGCCACUGUUAUUCAUCAAGAACAUAAUUUAACUAAAGCUCGUUAAAAAAAUUGCCCAUAGAAAUAAUCACUUUGGAUUGGUAGUGUCAAAAGGAUGCAGAACAUUUGUAACAUUUCUUCCCAUAUUCAUGAGACUUUCACUCUGCUGUUGCAUUAGUCAAGUUUAAUUUCAUUA
This is a non-coding RNA of Aegilops tauschii subsp. strangulata, 2682 nucleotides long. NCBI's taxonomy places the organism in Eukaryota, Viridiplantae, Streptophyta, Magnoliopsida, Poales, Poaceae. The record is from RefSeq and is a predicted model, not a curated record.